UAUGUGAAGUUUUGGUUAGCUCUGAUUGUACUGGUACUCCACCUUCAAAGGUGGGAAGGAGAAACUAUUGUAAGAGAGAUUUCAUUUUUGAAGUCCCAUCAAGCCAGGGUUAAUCAUCUCCCAAAGCAGAAAAUGUCUUUACCUGUAGGAGUGACCACCAAGUGGUAGGACUCCCAAAGGAGAGAGUGCUUCAGCUUUCCAGCCAACAGAAAUGGGUGAGUAUCUAUCUGUCUAUGGCUUUUUCCCUUCCCGCCAAGAUAUCCAAAAAGAUACAUUCAGAGGUUCUCCCAAUUUUAAUUUUGUCAAAGGUCCUCCAAUCAAGUUUCCUAUGGGACUUUUAAAUUAGCGGUCAUUGUAUAAACUAUUUUAAUGGAUUGAUUGAUUUGUAGCCAUUUUAACUUUAAAAAAGAAACGUAACUUUGUAGUUAGAUUUAUGACCCAUGUCUUUACAGGAAGACUUGCUUGCCUGGAAGUGCCUGGUCAUCAAUGCAGUAUUUCAUAGACGCUUGACUUUCCCAUGAUCUUUUUCAAAGACUCAGAGAGGUAUCCACUUGAGAAUAUGCAACCUUUUUUCUUUUCCCAAUUUCUAACUUUUGUAGUUCUUCCAUGUCCAUUCCCACCACAUUCAUUACCUCAUCAGUGUUCACUAUGCCUCUCAGCAGUAAGGAAAAGACUCAUGCUAAAAAUCCUCUGGGCAUGUGUUUUCUGAAAGUGAAUUUGUCAUUGGAAAAUCAAAUAUAAUGAUGUUCCACCUAGAAAACAGUUACUAGAUCAUAGGGUGGUAUCUCUAUAAAUGUUUAGGACAAGGUUAUAUCCUACAGCUACACACUACAGCAGCAUUGUUCAUUUUAUUCCUCUCUGGAUCAUAAGUUUUUCAUAUGUCAGAGGCAAUCUACCUAGCCUUUUAUUCUAUCAAUAUAUAUAGGUAUGGACAAGGAUAAAGACUCCCACAUACUUCUUCAAAGGUGACAUAUAUAAACAUAGAAAAAUAUCAUGUAUAGUUUCCAUGCCUCCAAGAAAUAUGAGUGGAUCAAAUGCUUCUCUGAGGUCAUUUAUAUUCAUGAUAUGCAAAUAGUAGUAAAAUUCACAUUGUAACCAAACACACCAGGAGAGAAAUUAGCUAACUUCAGUGUUAUUCAAUGUUAUUGAGUCAAUUUUGACAAUUAAAGCACAGCCAACCCUACUGAUUUUCUGAUUGCAAAGACAGAUCUACCUAGCCAAAUCCGAGAGUGUAGAGGGGAAUUCAUGUGCUAGAAUGAUUAUACAGCUCUCUUACUGGAAACUCUUUAUUUGCUUAGAAGGAUCUGGCUCAGAGAUUUUUCGAAGACAUUCUCCUACAUUCUCAAGUUGAAAUAACCUACAUUUAAUUUGCAGAAUUUUUUAUUGGACCUCUUGAAGCCACACGGUUGGGCAAUAGAUAAAUUCUCCAAAGAGAUCUUUCCUUAAACUCUGAUCCUAUAUUUGCAAUGAACCAUCCUCCAAUAUGAAGGUCCCUUUCUUUCCAAGUGGAAGGAACAAUUCUAUUCAAUAACCAAAUAUGUAACCACUUUUCAAAAUAUUUCACCCCCAAAAUAGACUAAAUUAUAUAAAUAUUUAAGAUAAAGCUGUUACGGCCCACAUGUCCAGUUUUGAGAAAAAUAAUUAUCUUACCUUCUUAUACUUGACAUUAAAAUUUGAAAAAUACUCCAAGGAAGAAAUCUUGAAGGAUUUGCCAUUUUUAUGAUGCUCAUAUAAUUGAAGAAUAUGGCUAAAAUAAUGACCUGGGUGAGAAUUAUCUAUGUGGUUGGCAAGAACAUAUUUUAAAAUGAGAGAAUGAGCCAAAAGAAAAUGUGUUAAGAUUUCACCCGAAACUACCCUUGUCUAAGAUAUUUGAAAGUCAUUAUCCUUAAGGAAGAUAGAUUCCCAGUUUUCAGAAAACAACAGUAAAAUUAAAACUUGUAUUCUCAGUUUUUAUAUGAGAAUCAAAGCUGGGAAUACACAAAUUUUGGCUUUGGCAACCAAAAAAUAUGCUUCUGGAACAUUUUUCUGUAUUAUUCUAUUCUUUUGCUGUAUACACUGGACUUGUACAAAUAUCCUAUAAAAAUGCUUUUGAUAAUUUCCUCAUUUUUUAUUGUUGUGAACUUUCUAAAUUUCACAACAUAGUAACUUGAUAACUUCAUUUAUAAAAGGCUCAUUUCACUUUGAUGUUAUUCACACUUCAUAAUUAAUUUGAAUAUUUAAAAUAAUUAAUACUUCAGAUGGGAUAUUGAGCUUGAGUCUAGCCUAAGUAAACAAGUCCAGACAGACCUAUCAGUAGCUAAAAGGCUUCUGAAAUACUGGCCUUUUCAUGCACAGCAAAUAAAAACAUUGUUUUCAAUCUUCUUUUUCAUCAAAAGUUGCCAUUUCAACCAAUGCAAAAACAAAAAGAUUUGAAAUGCUAGUUUGAAGAUUAUUUCUGUGAGAAUCAGACAUGGUUUCAGCAGAAAAUCUCCUCUAUUCCAUCUCUUCCUAGAGCUUAAAUAUACAUAAAUACAAAAAUAGAUGAUGUAUGCCAAAGAACUCAAAUUGCAUUUUCAGAUGUCUAGGAUUACCCUAAAAGCCCAUGUCAGGUUAGUGUUCCUUUUUAUCAGAUCUCUUUCAUACGUGGAAAAAUGGGAGAGAGAUGUGGAAGGAAGCAGAUUUCAGAUUUUUUUUUCCUUUUUAGCUAAAGAUGCAAAUUCAAAGUUGUGUAAAACCUGCUUAGAAUACUGUUAAUUAAAUCUAUUCUUCAAAAAAAUAAGUAGAUUUUAAGAAGACAGAAAUUCAUUUUUCUUCCCUCAGUCGGCAAGCAUUUCUAAUAGAAAUUUCUUGGAUCAAUUAGGGCUCCUUUCUGACUUUCUGAAUUACCCUCUGUUUUGGGCCAUGGGGGCGGCGGAGGGUGGGGAGUGGGCACAUUGAAAACAGCUCUUGAAAAAUAACCCUUCUCUAGGUCAAAUAUUGUGGUAUUAAAAGGCUGAAAUUUUGUAUUUUUCCCUGGAAACAUAGCAGUGAGCCAACAAGCCCUCAUACAUUCAUCAUUAUUUUCUAGAAGUGUGUUUUGGCACGUUGGGAUAAAAAGAAUGGGAUGCCCACCUAAUUCUGCCCCUAAUACCUAAUCAUCUACCACCAUGUAGAUUCUCCAUUAGCUGUAGUUUAGCUUAGAUAUUCUCAACUUAACCAAGCCUCAACUCUCAUGUAUACUGGUUGUCUUAUCCCUAGUUUUGCAAACUAGCCCUUUCAACCAGUUGGUGCAUGAGAUAUCUCCAAGGGGAAGGAUGAGGAGCGGGUAGAAAGUGGGAUGUAACUUUCAUGCCAAGUCACUGGAACCUAUUUAACCAACUGUUUUACUAUAUAUUGGACUCCAUUUGGGACAAUUCUAUUGAAAAUACUAGAAGGACUUUAUUGGUAUUUCAUCAACUAAACUUUUGUGGUACUGGAUCUAAGCAAAGGAUAGCAUCAUGCAAAAAAAUUAAAGUUAUUUUUAUUAGCUACACUGUUGCUACAACUUGGAAGAAUUUCAGUCUAAAAUAAGAACAGUGUUUUGCUGCCAUCACUAAUCCUAUAGGAAAUUUGACAGGCUGAAUCUUCUUUGAGACAGAUGAUGCUAUGGUGAAUGUAUACAUGAGGCUUAAAAUAAUCUUGAUAGUUCUCAGGUUAUUCUCCCAGAUUCUGCAUAGAUUUACUUUCUUAAAACAAAUGAGUCUAUUUCUCAUCAAAAUGGUUUCGGAAUUUUCCCAGUAAGCAUCCAAAGAACCUAUGAGUUUUAGAUUGCAUCAGUGGCUCUGCUUCAGUGUCCACUUUUCUGAUUUCUGACCCUUAAUCCCUGUGCACAUCUUUCAGGAACAACUGCAGAUGGUGAGAGAAAGCCAAAUGGAAGGGCUGUAUUCCCUUUCAAAAGACUAAAUUGACUUUUUACUUUUAAAAAUGACUGUUUCAAAUUUUUAAUUUUAAGGACAAACCCAAGAGAGACGCUUUUAAAUGCCAGAUCUGAAGCAGAUAUUGCAUUUUUGCAAAACUACCAGGAAAAUUUGUCAAUGAUGGAGACAUGGGAUUUACCAACAUCAGUGCCGAAUCACUGCUCUCCCCCAUGCCAUCAUAGAGUAUCAACAAGUGAACAAGAAGUCAGUCAGGAGAGACAGAUCACUAUUAGUUUCAUAAUCACGUCACCAUCAAAUGCUAGAUGGGGUCAGGAAGUAGGCAAAAUAGAUGGGAUCAAUUCUAAUCCUCAUCACCUUGCUCCCCUGCAUGAUGGCUAUGGUCUAUGAGCAUGAGAACAAUGCCAGAAAUACAUUUUUCACUUGAUGUGAAUAUUACCUCCAGAGAUUCUUUUCUGCUCUGAGCUGCAUAUUGCGUUUGACUCAAACAUUUCCAAACAGAGUCAUGCAACUCCAUCACAUACUUGUUGCCUGCUUGGAGAAUUAAUCCUCUUUGCAAACUGGUUGCCAUGGAACCAGUUUUUAAAAACACUGAGAAAGCAACAUAGCUAAGUGAUGAGGAGGAUCCAGUGAUAACUAGUCUAAACUUGUAUUUUUUUUUUCUUUCCAGCCAAUGCACUGACUCUUCAACUCAAAAAAAAAAAAAAUCAUUAUUUCAUUAGUAAAAUGAAAAUAGUAAUUGCAUUGUUAUUGUUUAAAAUUAAUUGAUAAUCUCUUCAGAGUUUGAAGCUUCCACUAACUAAAAAUGAGAUCCAUGGGUAACAUAUGAUUUUACCCAAAGCUGGGGUUUGUUUUGUGAAGAAACCAGAACUGGUUUGGGUCUCUUUAGAGCAAUACACGAGAUAUUUAACAACAUUUGAAAAUAAUGAGGAAGGUUCAGCACAGGCUGCUAGGUUAUAGAGGUGGGCAAGGCUUCUGACAGGCUCUAAAAGUUUUGCUCCUCCAUGGAAGAUUUUAUCUGUCAUGGUUCCCAGUGGAAUAUUUCCCCACACUCCUUCAGUAGGAGACUGACAUGGCUCCAGAAUCUGCCUUUCAUUUUCUAAUUCUCCCAGGAGAAACAGGCAUUCCAGAGGUUGUAAUAUAAAAGAAAAACGGGGGGAAAAAAUAACAGGAGCCUCAUUGGUUGAUCCAGAAAUUUUGUGUAGCACAGACCAUUCUAAUUGUCUCCAUAUUACUAUUACUAAAUGGCUUUUUUAAAGUGACUGCAACACACCUAGGAAAAAGAUUUGAGGAGCUAUUUCUAACCCUUAAUCAAAAGUCAGAAAUUACUUUGAUGACAGGAUCUUAAAGUUGCUUCAUCUUCCUGCUUAGUCCUCGCAAAUCAAUAGGGAUUGAGCAAUGCAGAAAGUGUUUGGACAGUACUCAUGAAUUAGAAUUCAGAUCUGGGUACUGGAGCUAAAUAAAUAUCAACUGGCAAAUUACCUGAGGAAAAAGAAUCAGAAAGAAGUUAAACCCAAAAGGGCACAGUUUAACAAAUCUGUCCUCCAAGAUCAUUGACUUAUUUUAUGUUCAGUUAAAACUUUUUAAAAAACAUAUACAUAUAACCAAGGUAAUGGAGUCAUGUUUAAAUCAAAUGUCAGUCUAUCACAUUUUUUAAAUCAUACAAUCCCAUAAACUUUAAGCAUUUAUUUUGGGCAGAGUAUUAUAGGCACCCAAAGAUAAUAUGAAGAAUUCAAGACAAGGUAAUUUCAAGAAAAUUAACACUAGCCCUGAAUUUAGUCAGGAAGAGUCCAGUUGUGACACUUUAAUUAAAUUAACCUUCCAUUUUUGGUCUAGAGAUAUUUUGUCAAUUUGAGACUGCUUAAUGGGGUCAGGCUGAAACAUAUCAAGGAAUCUUCCUUAAAUAGAAAUAGAACCAUUCAUUUUCCUAACUUCACAUUCUGUCUUUCACCAAUGAGAUAAAUGAAUUUAGACAUAUCCAAUGUCUGCCAUGCACCAAAGUCUAUAGGAGAGUGACAUCCAGUCUUAUUUCAACAUUUCAAGUUGGGGAAAAACUUGUUCUGAAGAUCAUUGGCCUCCUCGUUACUGCAUUUUUUUUUUCCUACCACGUGUUGAUAUUAAUUCAUCACUGGUUUUCUUUGUCUGCUGCUCUUUUGACUUUGAGGUAUCUGGCUGUAUCUCAGGGAGUCCCAACUCCAGCUGUCACCUUUUAACAGCCAAGUAGAGAAGACCUUAGUCCCUAUGUCUGAGGACACAAUGUCCUCUUCAUUCCAACAUCAAACAGUCCCCAGGGAGGAGGCCCCAAAGGCUUUCCUCUUUUGAAAAUUAGAAUUUGUUUGAGGAUUAUGAAUCUUGAGCUCUCUAAGACUUGAAUUUCCUCAUCAUUAAAUGGAGGACUUCAUCUUUCACUUGGUUUUCCAGAACAUACCAAGCCCUAUAUGAUCCAUGGUUCCUGUUAUCAACCCAGUGGGUAUGGGUUGAAGGUGCUUUAGGUUGUGAACCAGUUGGUCCUCAUAAAAUGCCUUGUGGUACUUGAUUACCAGUGUAAAUGUCAAGCCAAGAAAAUCAUAUUAAGUCUGAUAGGCAUUUACGCACUACUGAAAAAAUUUCCCUUCCCUAAGGAGAGUAAAAAAUGUCUCCCUUUGCAGUAUGCCAACAACAGAACAUUUAAAGAGUUGGGAGUGCAUUCCACAUCAGUGACUUUCCUAAGGUUGAAUCUGUGGUUCUUCUAAAUGUAAACUGUGACUUCACACAGUUUCCCACAGUAAUUCUACUUUUUCAUUUUUUUGUACUUAAUUACAACUGACUGACAGCAGUGAUUUCAUACUAAAGUGUGUACAUACAAACAGGAUGCACAUUGACCAGGAGAAAGAUGUUAAAAGAUAGAGUAUUCUAAAGGAAGAUGAAAAAAGGAUUGCAUUUGCUAUGGAUUCAAAUGUCGUUUAAACACCUCUCUUGUUAUGGAGAAAAUGAAUCCUGAAAAACAUUUUACAAAAAGAUUUCAAUCCCAUCCCUAGCAAUCAUCUGGUUUGCCACAGCCCAAAUGUCUCAUUAGCAAUCUGAAAUUGCACACGGUUGGAGAAAAUAUAGCAAGAGGAUAUAGACACUG
This 6981-nucleotide long non-coding RNA is filed under the name Sus scrofa (pig). RNAcentral's name for it is "lncRNA (ENSSSCG00000060076.1)". Lineage: Eukaryota; Metazoa; Chordata; Mammalia; Artiodactyla; Suidae. The record is from RNAcentral.